AUGAACGCUUUUAAUAUGCUUAACACAUGCAAGUAACUUAAUGUUUUAUAAUAGUGCAUACGGGCGUAGAGAGUGGAAGUAUUUAAGUUAAUGCUAUUUUGGGUUUUAAGAUAAUCUUCUACAGAAUUAAGUUGUUGGGACGGCCGUAGCGUACCAAGCUAAUGAUUCUUAGCUAUUUUGUGAGAUUGAAUAGUCGCAAUAAAACUGAAAUAAGGUUUGAACUUUAUCGAGGCAGCAGUGAGGAAUAUUGGACAAUGGACGCUAGUCUGAUCCAGCGAUAUUAGCUAAAGGAGUGGAAGGCGGUAGUUGUAAACUUUGGGCAAUAGUUUAAUUAAUGAUUAAAAGUUGUUGUUUAGAACUCCGGCUAAUUUUGU
This 374-nucleotide ribosomal RNA is filed under the name uncultured bacterium. Its description in RNAcentral is "partial 16S ribosomal RNA". It matches the Rfam family "Bacterial small subunit ribosomal RNA", at positions 30 to 506 of the family's 1533-position model. The record is from RNAcentral.